Molecule: ribosomal RNA, 330 nt
Filed under: uncultured bacterium
Lineage: Bacteria
Description: bacterial SSU rRNA
Rfam family: Bacterial small subunit ribosomal RNA
Source: RNAcentral
UCCGUAGGCGGUGUGGCAAGUCGGUAGUGAGAUCUCUCGGCUUAACUGAGAGGCUGCUGCCGAAACUGCCAUGCUCGAGUGCGAGAGAGGCGAGUGGAAUUGCGGGUGUAGCGGUGAAAUGCGUAGAUAUCCGCAGGAACAUCCGAGGCGAAAGCGGCUCGCUGGAUCGCAACUGACGCUGAGGGACGAAAGCUAGGGGAGCAAACAGGAUUAGAUACCCUGGUAGUCCUAGCCCUAAACCAUCAGGACUUGGGGUUUGCCCUGUACGGGGCAAGUCCCGGAGCUAACGCGUUAAGUCCUGCGCCUGGGGAGUACGGUCGCAAGGCUGAA